AGAUAUAUAAAGUAAUAUUGAAGAGAUUUGUAGAACAAGAUAGAUUUGUGUCUGAAAGACUUUAUUGAAACAUAAACUAGGAUUAGCUCAAAGGAGCUUUAUUGAAAAGUAAAGAACAAGAAAGGAACAAGCUUGAUGUUUGUCUUCAAGAACUAAAUGAACCUUUUGAUAUCAUAAAUAGAGUUUGAAGUAGGCUGCUUGAAACGCAACCAAAGUUGCAUUGCCAUAAUGAUACUAGACAUAUUUAUACCAAAUCUAACUUGCUAAAACCCUAAACACUUAGUCUAACAGGCUUGGUUGUUCUUCUUGGGCUUGGGCUCUUAUACUCCCCUGCAAACUUAGCGUGGAUGGAGCAGCAACGGAGCAGCAACGCAAAGUUUGAAAGCACAGAUGAAGAUGACUUGAAAUGACCAGUAGGAUGCUUUUGAUGUAGGCAAAGGGCUCUUGUUCUUCUGGAAAACAAACUAAGUGUGAGAUCUAUUCAGGCCUAUACUUGGAGAGUAUUACAUGGCUUCACUCAGAGGUUUCUCUUGAACUUGGAGAGCUUAGUUGAUCUCACUCAGAGGUAUAACUAUGGCAUAUUUGUCUCACUAUGAAUCUAGGUUUCCUUUACCCAUUUCAUUCUUCUAAUGUGUCUCAUGAAGAACUCUCUUUCCACACCUACCAAAUAAAACUAUACUCAAUCUCUGCUUCCCAUCAGUAUACUGCUAAAAAACUCUGCCUCUAAACAAUCUGACAGUGUCGUUGGCAUUUUACCGAGCAGCUUGCGUGCAUUAGCAUUAAAGCCAGAGACUUGCAUCCAAGACCACACGUAACAAACCCAAACAAGCCUUUCUCAAUCAACUUGUGUGUUCUAAAACCCAUCUUAACCAGAAUCUAAACCAGUACACGACAUAUAAUUUUCUCAUCCACUGUUCUGUCUCAAUUAAAGAAACAGAGAUAAUACCGUGUAGAAGUGGUGAGGAAGCUGAAUAAGUCUUCAUUCUUCUCUGACCAGUUUGAGACCUGUCUGAAACUUCAACUAGAAAAAGCCCGAUAAACCCCAUGAACCACCGUGGUCUCUGUCUCGAACUUCUCCCUCUUCAUAUGGGCAAGCGCUUGACUGGUUCUGUUUCUCAAUGACAGAGUCACAGCUGCAGCAGGUCUUUAGCAGGGCUUGGUGAAGAC
RNAcentral lists this long non-coding RNA (1167 nucleotides) under Brassica napus (rape). Its description in RNAcentral is "long non-coding RNA (BNAP_LNC008936)". The record is from RNAcentral. Lineage: Eukaryota; Viridiplantae; Streptophyta; Magnoliopsida; Brassicales; Brassicaceae.